CACCGCCCGUCACGCUAUGGAAGUCGCUAACACCUGAAGUCGCUGAGCUAACCGCAAGGAGGCAGGCGCGAGGGUGGGAGGGAUAACUGGAGCG
RNAcentral lists this ribosomal RNA (94 nucleotides) under uncultured bacterium. RNAcentral describes it as "partial 16S ribosomal RNA". It matches the Rfam family "Bacterial small subunit ribosomal RNA", at positions 1388 to 1482 of the family's 1533-position model. The record is from RNAcentral.